RNAcentral lists this transfer RNA (73 nucleotides) under Pyrobaculum aerophilum. Its description in RNAcentral is "tRNA-Lys". It matches the Rfam family "tRNA". From Rfam's summary of the family: Transfer RNA (tRNA) molecules are approximately 80 nucleotides in length. Their secondary structure includes four short double-helical elements and three loops (D, anti-codon, and T loops). Further hydrogen bonds mediate the characteristic L-shaped molecular structure. tRNAs have two regions of fundamental functional importance: the anti-codon, which is responsible for specific mRNA codon recognition, and the 3' end, to which the tRNAs corresponding amino acid is attached (by aminoacyl-tRNA synthetases). tRNAs cope with the degeneracy of the genetic code in two manners: having more than one tRNA (with a specific anti-codon) for a particular amino acid; and 'wobble' base-pairing, i.e. permitting non-standard base-pairing at the 3rd anti-codon position. The record is from RNAcentral. Lineage: Archaea; Thermoproteati; Thermoproteota; Thermoprotei; Thermoproteales; Thermoproteaceae.
GGGCCCGUAGCUCAGCCUGGUAGAGCGGCGGGCUCUUAACCCGUAGGUCGUGGGUUCGAAUCCACCGGGCCCG